AGUAAAUAGUUAACUUUGAAACUGCGAAUGGCUCAUUAUAUCAGUUAUAGUUUAUUUGAUGAAGAAUACUAAUUGGAUAACCGUAGUAAUUCUAGAGCUAAUACAUGUAUAAAGUCUUGUAGACUGCAUUUAUUAGAAUGAAAACCAUAGGUUUCGGCCUAUUCGUGAGUAAUAAUAACUAAUCAUAUCGUAUGCUUACGUAACGAUGUGUCUUUCAAGUUUCUGCCCUAUCAGCUUUCGAUGGUAGUGUAUUGGACUACCAUG
This 264-nucleotide ribosomal RNA is filed under the name Blastocystis hominis. RNAcentral describes it as "partial 18S ribosomal RNA". It matches the Rfam family "Eukaryotic small subunit ribosomal RNA", at positions 62 to 348 of the family's 1831-position model. Lineage: Eukaryota; Bigyra; Opalinata; Blastocystidae. The record is from RNAcentral.